CAACAUCCCAGCUCACUGGAAACAAACCGACAUACCUACCAAAAAAGAAUGGAUCCACAGGGUGGAAGAGAUCCAAGGAGCAGAAGCAGCAUACGCCACUCUAACAGGUCGGGAAACCAGGCACGCAGAGACGUGGACGCCGUGGUUCCUGUACAUCUCUCGCUACCGCAGUGAUGGAGGUGCACCGGGGCCCGCAGUGGGGGCACGGCCUGACGCGAGCUAGGCCAGAGG
Molecule: non-coding RNA, 231 nt
Organism: Pelobates cultripes (western spadefoot toad)
Lineage: Eukaryota; Metazoa; Chordata; Amphibia; Anura; Pelobatidae
Source: the annotation of a GenBank genome assembly